UAGAGUUUGAUCCUGGCUCAGGACGAACGCUGGCGGCGUGCUUAACACAUGCAAGUCGAGCGGAAAGGCCCCUUCGGGGGUACUCGAGCGGCGAACGGGUGAGUAACACGUGAGAAACCUGCCCUUAGCUCUGGGAUAGCUCCGGGAAACCGGGAUUAAUACCGGAUAUGACCACGGUCGGCCUCGACCAUGGUGGAAAGAUUUAUCGNGCUAGGGAUGGCCUCGCGGCCUAUCAGCUUGUUGGUGAGGUAACGGCUCACCAAGGCGACGACGGGUAGCCGGCCUGAGAGGGCGACCGGCCACACUGGGACUGAGACACGGCCCAAACUCCUACGGGAGGCAGCAGUGGGGAAUAUUGGACAAUGGGCGCAAGCCUGAUCCAGCCAUGCCGCGUGGGUGAUGAAGGCCCUANGGUUGUAAAGCCCUUUCGGCGGGGAAGAUAAUGACGGUACCCGCAGAAGAAGCCCCGGCUAACUUCGUGCCAGCAGCCGCGGUAAUACGAAGGGGGCUAGCGUUGCUCGGAAUCACUGGGCGUAAAGCGCACGUAGGCGGCUUUUUAAGUCCGGGGUGAAAUCCUGGAGCUCAACUCAAAAACUGCCUUUGAUACUGAGAACCUUGAUUCCCGGAAAGGUGAGUGGAACUGCNNAUGUAAAGGGGAAAUCCUAAAAAUUCNCAAAAACCCCAUGGGCGAAAGGGCUCCCUGGCCCGGGACUUGACCUUAGGUGCAAAACGGGGGGGACAAACGGUUUAAAACCCCGGNAAUCCCCCCCNNAAACAUGGAUUUUACCCCUUGUCGGUUUUUUUUUNAGGGNCCCNCGUACGCAUUAACCUCCGCCUUGGG
RNAcentral lists this ribosomal RNA (841 nucleotides) under uncultured Actinomycetes bacterium. RNAcentral's name for it is "uncultured actinobacterium partial 16S ribosomal RNA". It matches the Rfam family "Bacterial small subunit ribosomal RNA", at positions 9 to 873 of the family's 1533-position model. The record is from RNAcentral. Lineage: Bacteria; Bacillati; Actinomycetota; Actinomycetes.